AAACACUCCCCCACGCCACUCCACCCACUUUCUCCACCACCACACCACCACAGCCCCUACCAAAAAAAUCCCCAAAUCUGAUGUUGGGCGCACAAAAACCACUGAUACCACUGCCUGUAUCAACAAAAUCACCUUCACCACUACAUCCAACAACGCCACCUUUAGAUCCAUCGUCGAUCCAACAAAACCCACCUUCAUCGCUAGAUCCACUGCCAUCGCCACCAACAAAUACCAC
RNAcentral lists this long non-coding RNA (235 nucleotides) under Olea europaea (common olive). RNAcentral describes it as "long non-coding RNA (OEUR_LNC011781)". Lineage: Eukaryota; Viridiplantae; Streptophyta; Magnoliopsida; Lamiales; Oleaceae. The record is from RNAcentral.